This 1339-nucleotide long non-coding RNA is filed under the name Pan troglodytes (chimpanzee). RNAcentral's name for it is "long non-coding RNA NONPTRT005240". The record is from RNAcentral. Lineage: Eukaryota; Metazoa; Chordata; Mammalia; Primates; Hominidae.
CUUUUUCCAAAAAAGAGAAAUCACUGUGAUUAUUUUAUCUUAUUGGAAUGUUGGAUAAUAUAAUCUGCUUUACUAAUCAUUAAGCACGCUGUAAAUUUUCCAUUACAACAGAAUUUGUACCUCAACUAAGGUGAUAAAGUUUUAAAGUUUAGAAAGUGAAAGCCAGCCCCGCCCCUCUCCCAGAGUGUGCGGGGACAGCAGUUCCAUGGGCGGCUUUCCUUGUGACAUCACAGGACCUUCAUGACACGCAGCUGCCUGGCCCCGCCUCCUUUCCCUUUCAUCUUUCUCAUUGACCAAUGGGCUUGGAGCAUUAAGGCCACGCCCCUUUUCCGCAUUCUAGUGCAGCCCUGGUGACGCCUCCUGUGGCUCAGUCACAUAGCUGUGUGGUACGUGACUGGAGGCAUAUCACUGUCCUCGCCUGGAUCACGCCAAUGUGACCCCAACCCCACCACCCUCCCCACCCCAUGAUGUCCAAAAAAACCCAACAAAGAAAAUUGGCUGGGACCAAGAAAAAGGUAAAAUGCAUCAGAUUGCAGUACCCCAACCCCAACCCAGCCCCAGGUCCCCUCUGAUGGCAGAACAGCUGCCAGAAUCCGUGUCACUCCAGAGGCACACGGGGCCGGGCCCCCGCAAUGCCUCUGGGCUCCCCCAACCAAAAUCUCGUGUCAGCCCCAACCCCUCAGCAGUCCUGCCCCUGCCCUCACCGGUCACCCCAGGGUGACUUUCAGCCGGUGACUCGUGGGGCUCCCUGCUUUGUACUCUGCCCUCACCUCCUAUUGUCCAAAAACGGAUCUCCCUGGGCGCUUCGGGCUCACGUUCCCAAGGAACCGGAUGCCCCAGCACCUGCCCUCACCAGUCACCCCAGGGUGACUUUGGGCAGGUGACUCCUGGGGCUCCCCACUCCAUACUCGGCCCUCACCUACCGCUGCCCCAAGCCUGACUUCCCUGGGCUCUUUGGGCUCACGUCUCCAAGUACCUGGGUCCCAACCCUGUGACCCCACGCCAAUCUCAAAGAGGCAACUUGGGCACAGCACUGAUGGGAUAAUGGGUUUGGUUUGGUUUUCUCCCAGGCUUCUACUCUCCAGAGAGACUUUAACAGUUUUUCUAAGUUCUCCACUUCAUAUUUGAAUUCUCCAUGGUUCUGGGACCAGAGUGCCCAUCACUCAGUGAUCUUUGAAGUGAGAUUUGCUCAUCUUCUGUGCAAGAGAUCUUCGGAAACUGGACUUGACAACUUGAAUCUUCCUCAUCUCAUCUCAACCUGGGGUACUUUGAGUGCCACAGGAUACAUAGGGGGCAUCUUUCUGAAGCAUCAGUUUUCCUUGAUUCUCUCUCUCCAUCU